RNAcentral lists this ribosomal RNA (301 nucleotides) under uncultured bacterium. Its description in RNAcentral is "partial 16S ribosomal RNA". It matches the Rfam family "Bacterial small subunit ribosomal RNA", at positions 509 to 808 of the family's 1533-position model. The record is from RNAcentral.
CAGCAGCCGCGGUAACACGUAGGUGGCAAGCGUUGUCCGGAAUUAUUGGGCGUAAAGCGAGCGCAGGCGGUUAGAUAAGUCUGAAGUUAAAGGCUGUGGCUUAACCAUAGUACGCUUUGGAAACUGUUUAACUUGAGUGCAAGAGGGGAGAGUGGAAUUCCAUGUGUAGCGGUGAAAUGCGUAGAUAUAUGGAGGAACACCGGUGGCGAAAGCGGCUCUCUGGCUUGUAACUGACGCUGAGGAGCGAAAGCGUGGGGAGCGAACAGGAUUAGAUACCCCCGUAGUCCCUGUCUCUUAUACC